Molecule: ribosomal RNA, 812 nt
Filed under: uncultured bacterium
Lineage: Bacteria
Description: bacterial SSU rRNA
Rfam family: Bacterial small subunit ribosomal RNA
Source: RNAcentral
ACAUGCAAGUCGAACGAUGAAACCUAGCUUGCUAGGUGGAUUAGUGGCGCACGGGUGAGUAAUAUAUAGGUAAUGUGCCUCUUAGUCUGGGAUAGCCAUUGGAAACGAUGAUUAAUACUGGAUACUCCUUCUAACUCUAAUGUUAGUCGGGAAAGUUUUUCGCUAAGAGAUCAGCCUAUAUCCCAUCAGUUAGUUGGUAAGGUAACGGCUUACCAAGGCAAUGACGGGUAGCGGGUUUGAGAGGAUGAUCCGCCACACUGGUACUGAGACACGGACCAGACUCCUACGGGAGGCAGCAGUGAGGAAUAUUGCACAAUGGGGGAAACCCUGAUGCAGCAACGCCGCGUGGAGGAUGACGCAUUUCGGUGUGUAAACUCCUUUUAUAUGUCAAGAAAAUGACGGUAGCAUAUGAAUAAGCACCGGCUAACUCCGUGCCAGCAGCCGCGGUAAUACGGAGGGUGCAAGCGUUACUCGGAAUCACUGGGCGUAAAGGACGCGUAGGCGGAUUGGAAAGUCAGAUGUGAAAUCCUACAGCUUAACUGUAGAACUGCAUUUGAAACUUCUAAUCUAGAGUAUGGGAGGGGGAGAUGGAAUUAGUGGUGUAGGGGUAAAAUCCGUAGAUAUCACUAGGAAUACCGAAAGCGAAGGCGAUCUCCUGGAACAUUACUGACGCUAAGGCGUGAAAGCGUGGGGAGCAAACAGGAUUAGAUACCCUGGUAGUCCACGCCCUAAACGAUGAACACUAGUCGUCGGGAUGCUUGUCAUCUCGGUGAUGCACUUAACAGAUUAAGUGUUCCGCCUGGGGAGUACGG